This 441-nucleotide ribosomal RNA is filed under the name uncultured bacterium. RNAcentral describes it as "bacterial SSU rRNA". It matches the Rfam family "Bacterial small subunit ribosomal RNA", at positions 8 to 445 of the family's 1533-position model. The record is from RNAcentral.
AGAGUUUGAUCCUGGCUCAGAACGAACGCUGGCGGCGUGCUUAACACAUGCAAGUCGAGUGCGCGUACUGUAGCAAUACGGUAUGGCGCACGGCGCACGGGUGCGUAACACGUGGGCAAUCUGCCCUUCGAUGGGGAAUAUCUUCGGGAAACCGAAGCGAAUUCCGCAUAACAUUCCUUGGACUUCGGUUCGAGGACUCAAAGCCGUAAGGCGUCGAAGGAGGAGCCCGCGCACGAUUAGCUAGUUGGUAGGGUAACGGCCUACCAAGGCUUUGAUCGUUAGCUGGUCUGAGAGGAUGGCCAGCCACACUGGAACUGAGACACGGUCCAGACUCCUACGGGAGGCAGCAGUGGGGAAUCUUGCACAAUGGGCGAAAGCCUGAUGCAGCGACGCCGCGUGGGGGAUGAAGCAUCUCGGUGUGUAAACCCCUUUCGACCCGGA